This 253-nucleotide ribosomal RNA is filed under the name uncultured Armatimonadota bacterium. Its description in RNAcentral is "uncultured Armatimonadetes bacterium partial 16S ribosomal RNA". It matches the Rfam family "Bacterial small subunit ribosomal RNA", at positions 524 to 776 of the family's 1533-position model. The record is from RNAcentral. Lineage: Bacteria; Bacillati; Armatimonadota.
UACGUAGGGGGCAAGCGUUGUCCGGAUUUACUGGGCGUAAAGCGCGUGUAGGCGGAGCGUUAAGUCUGGCCUGAAAGCCCCCGGCUCAACCGGGGAGGGUGGCUGGAAACUGGCGUUCUUGAGGGCGAUAGAGGAGAGCGGAAUUCCUGGUGUAGCGGUGAAAUGCGUAGAUAUCAGGAGGAACACCCGUGGCGAAGGCGGCUCUCUGGAUCGGCCCUGACGCUGAGACGCGAAAGCGUGGGGAGCGAACGGG